This is a non-coding RNA of Sus scrofa (pig), 882 nucleotides long. Lineage: Eukaryota; Metazoa; Chordata; Mammalia; Artiodactyla; Suidae. The record is from RefSeq and is a predicted model, not a curated record.
CAAACACCCAGCGGAGGGCGAAGCAACCACUGGGUUCGCACACACCCUCGUUAGGCCUGUGAAAAUGGCACGUUGGCGGGCAGUUUGGUUCCCAGGUGAUGCUAAUGCUGCUGGUCCGUGGACCCACUUGGAGGACUGCCAAGUUAGGCUACCUGGCCUCCAGGUGAGAAUGUUGGAGCGGACUUUUCAGGUAGGACCGGCUCACGGCUACCCCUACCCACGAAGCCCGAGAUGGCCCCAAGACAUCUCCUGCGCUGAGGCACUGGGAGGCACAUUGGUGAGGGAAGUGCCCUAGGGCCAGGAAAGCUGAUGGGAGAAACUGCGGCUGAAUGGGAAUCUGGUGUCUGGUGUGUCAGCAGCUCAGAAGAGCAGUGGAUUGCCAGCAUUUGUUGCCAUGAAGGUGGCUCCUGAGCCGCUGCUGUUGGGGAAUGCUCUGCAGCUCCUGUGCCUGGCAGCAGUGGCGUGGGCAUCUACCCAGAGGGCUCUGCAGCAGAACUGGGAGCACCAUUUCUGGCCACAGAGGCCCCCAGCAUGGCUCUCUCACUCUUCCCAGGAUUCUGUGACCAGCCAUUUUGUCCUUUUUUAAAAAAAAAAAAAAAUUGAAGUGAAAUUUGCAUAACCUGAAAUUAACCACUUCAGUAGCAUUUAAUGCAUUUUCUGUGUUGUGCAACCCCCACCUCUGGCUAAGUUCCCAAAUAUUUCUACCAUUCACCCAAAAAACCCCAUGUCCACUGAGCAGUUACUCCCCAUUCUCCUGUUUCCCCUGGAAACCACCAGUCUGCACCUGUGGAUUUACCUCUCCUGCGUGGUUCAUACACAUGGAACCAUACAGCAUGUGAUCUCUUGUGCCUAGCUUAAAGUAAUGUUUUCACGGUUCAUCCA